This 58-nucleotide microRNA precursor is filed under the name Scyliorhinus torazame (cloudy catshark). RNAcentral's name for it is "Sto-Mir-196-P3_pre stem-loop". Lineage: Eukaryota; Metazoa; Chordata; Chondrichthyes; Carcharhiniformes; Scyliorhinidae. The record is from RNAcentral.
UAGGUAGUUUCAUGUUGUUGGGCUUCUGUUUGAUCGCAGUGACAGGAAACUGCCUGAA